RNAcentral lists this ribosomal RNA (328 nucleotides) under uncultured eukaryote. RNAcentral's name for it is "partial 18S ribosomal RNA". It matches the Rfam family "Eukaryotic small subunit ribosomal RNA", at positions 1470 to 1796 of the family's 1831-position model. The record is from RNAcentral.
CCCUUAGAUGUCCUGGGCCGCACGCGCGUUACACUGAUGCAUUCAACGAGCUUAUAACCUUGGCCGAGAGGCCUGGGCAAUCUUGUUAACGUGCAUCGUGAUAGGGAUAGAUUAUUGAAAUUAUUAAUCUUGGACGAGGAAUUCCUAGUAAACGCAGAUCAUCAAUCUGCAUUGAUUACGUCCCUGCCCUUUGUACACACCGCCCGUCGCACCUACCGAUUGGAUGGUCCGGUGAAGCCUCGGGAUUGUGGUUCUUGCCGCUUUGUUGUGGCGUGACCGCGAGAACUUGUCUAAACCUUAUCAUCUAGAGGAAGGUGAAGUCGUAACA